RNAcentral lists this ribosomal RNA (595 nucleotides) under Itersonilia pannonica. Its description in RNAcentral is "eukaryotic LSU rRNA". It matches the Rfam family "Eukaryotic large subunit ribosomal RNA", at positions 79 to 664 of the family's 3401-position model. Lineage: Eukaryota; Fungi; Basidiomycota; Tremellomycetes; Cystofilobasidiales; Mrakiaceae. The record is from RNAcentral.
CGUGCGCGGCGAGUGAGCGGGAUGAGCUCAAAUUUAAAAUCUGGCUGCCUCAGGUGGUCCGAGUUGUAGUCUCGAGAAGUGUUUUCCGCGUUGGCCUGUGUACAAGUCCUUUGGAAUAAGGCGUCAUAGAGGGUGAGAAUCCCGUCCUUGACACAGAUCCCCAAUGCUUUGUGAUGCGCUCUCAAAGAGUCGAGUUGUUUGGGAAUGCAGCUCAAAAUGGGUGGUAAAUUCCAUCUAAAGCUAAAUAUUGGCGAGAGACCGAUAGCGAACAAGUACCGUGAGGGAAAGAUGAAAAGCACUUUGGAAAGAGAGUUAAACAGUACGUGAAAUUGUUGAAAGGGAAACGAUUGAAGUCAGUCAUGCUCGUAGGGAUUCAACCGGUUCUGCCGGCCUAUUUCCCUACUUGCAGGCCAGCAUCAGUUUUGACCGGUGGAAAAGGUUGGAGGGAAUGUGGCAUCCUCGGAUGUGUUAUAGCCCUCUUUCGCAUACAUCGGUUGGGACUGAGGAACGCAGCACGCCUUUAUGGUCGGUCUUCGGACACGUACGUGCUUAGGAUGCUGGCAUAAUGGCUUUAAACGACCCGUCUUGAACAAGG